This 253-nucleotide ribosomal RNA is filed under the name uncultured bacterium. Its description in RNAcentral is "partial 16S ribosomal RNA". It matches the Rfam family "Bacterial small subunit ribosomal RNA", at positions 524 to 776 of the family's 1533-position model. The record is from RNAcentral.
UACGGCGGGUGCAAGCGUUAUCCGGAUUCACUGGGUUUAAAGGGAGCGUAGGUGGGCUGGUAAGUCCGUGGUGAAAUCUCCGGGCUUAACUCGGAAACUGCCGUUGAUACUAUCAGUCUUGAAUAUUGUGGAGGUAAGCGGAAUAUGUCAUGUAGCGGUGAAAUGCUUAGAUAUGACAUAGAACACCGAUAGCGAAGGCAGCUUGCUACACAAUUAUUGACACUGAGGCACGAAAGCGUGGGGAUCAAACAGG